Molecule: unclassified non-coding RNA, 478 nt
Filed under: Hevea brasiliensis (rubber tree)
Lineage: Eukaryota; Viridiplantae; Streptophyta; Magnoliopsida; Malpighiales; Euphorbiaceae
Source: RNAcentral
GAGAGCUUUCACAUAAGCUGAUGAAGAAGCAUCGGCUGUAGAAACACACUCUUCCAAGCACCAAGAUAGGUGAAUUAAAAUUUUGGCAAGAUGCCUUGUGUAGCAAUUAUUCUGAGCAAAGUGUAGGCAAGCUUGCUGAACACGAUCCGAAGACCAAUGAAGAUUUAGAGGAAGCUCUAGAAGCUUCUGCCAGUAAUCAGAAGCAAGAGGAAACGAUUUCUCGCCAAUAAAUGCUCCAAUUAGAUACUCCGCCGUUUCAUGAGGCCUCGAACUACCGUUAAACCUCGGCGUUGACGGUACUCCCCCCAUUCACACUACUCCGUCCGUCCGGCCGACACAGAAAACUAAACGGUGCAAAUAUAUGUAUACCGACUCUUCUGGAAUGUUGUAGUACCUUCAGAAGUGCGAAUUCACGAGAUCGUAGAGAGGUUUCACUGGCAUUUUGCGAUGAAAAAAUUGUUGGAGCUGUGGAUCUGAG